GGAAUUCGUAGUCAAGAAUUGGUAGGAAUCCAAAUAAAUAAAGGAAUCCUCAUCGGAUCUUCAAUUCAAUUUUAGAUUUUAGUCAAGAAUGGGUAGGAAUCCAGAUCAUUUUUAAUUAAUUAAUAGUACUUAUAAGGGUAAGGUGCUUACAUGUGUUGGUGCACAGGAUUUUAAAUAGUCAAAAUUGUUAUCUUUUUAGGAGUCAUUGGAGCCUAUGUCUAUUGAAUUCUCAAAUGAAAUUUCAAUUGCAUUCCUAUUAACCAUGAUAGUUCAAUAUGAUUUUCUUGGAUUCUUUUUUUGGUGAUAUGUGGUUAUUGCAA
RNAcentral lists this unclassified non-coding RNA (320 nucleotides) under Hevea brasiliensis (rubber tree). Lineage: Eukaryota; Viridiplantae; Streptophyta; Magnoliopsida; Malpighiales; Euphorbiaceae. The record is from RNAcentral.